This is a long non-coding RNA of Cucurbita maxima (winter squash), 552 nucleotides long. RefSeq lists it as uncharacterized. NCBI's taxonomy places the organism in Eukaryota, Viridiplantae, Streptophyta, Magnoliopsida, Cucurbitales, Cucurbitaceae. The record is from RefSeq and is a predicted model, not a curated record. The transcript has 2 exons.
CUAAACAGAAAAUUUAUGCGUCAAAUGAGAAAUUAUUUAGCAACUGGGCUAUAUAAAAAAAGUAUAUGUUCCAACGAAUCCUACAAAACUGUUAAUCCCGAUGUGGAAACAUGCAAUUUAAUUCAGUAGAUAAGAUGGACCACCCCCUCUGCCUGUAUUGUUGUGACAUAUGAGAAAGAUGUGGGACUACAGGACCCGAUUACGUUAAAUGCCAAUUGGUGAGAACAAGAAACAACGUGAAAAAUAAUAGAUACCCAGAAUGUGAUGUCAAUGUGAAAUGGAAUUAGAAUCAAAAGAUGCCAGAGCAAGGACGUCGUACCAAAAUUCUCUCGCCAGAAAGAUGGCUGUUUCCGGAUCCUAAAAGCUGGGAGUCCCUGGCUCUUGAGCACUCAUCUGGGUUUUAACCAAUACUUCCUCAGUUGUUAUGCACCGACACAGCAGCCACAAGCACCAAGCUACAGGUCCUAAGGAGGUCAAUGGCAGCCCAGAUCUGGAUAUUAUGUAUACAUACACAAAAGGACGCUACACCACGAAGCAAGUCCAUUACAAGGA